GAUGAAGAACGCAGCGAAAAGCGAUAAGUAAUGUGAAUUACAGAAUUCAGUGAAUCAUCGAGUUUUUGAACGCAUAUUGCGCCCUCUGGUAUUCCGGGGGGCAUGCCUGUUCGAGCGUCAUUAAAUAACCCUCAAGCAUAGCUUGGUGUUGGGCUUUUUUACGUCCUUGACUGGGAUGGGCCUAAAAAUUAGUGGCGAUGGCUUUUUUACUUUCAAGCGUAGUAAAUCUCGUCUUGCUAAAGAGGAAAAAGAUUUUUUUUCUGCCAAAAAUUUUAACAUUUAAAGUUGACCUCGGAUCAGGUAGGAUUACCCGCUGAACUUAAGCAUAUCAAUAAGCGGAGGA
This 343-nucleotide unclassified non-coding RNA is filed under the name soil metagenome. RNAcentral's name for it is "partial contains 5.8S ribosomal RNA, internal transcribed spacer 2, and large subunit ribosomal RNA". The stretch from base 1 to 120 matches the Rfam family "5.8S ribosomal RNA", at positions 35 to 154 of the family's 154-position model. The record is from RNAcentral.